Molecule: long non-coding RNA, 284 nt
Filed under: Homo sapiens (human)
Lineage: Eukaryota; Metazoa; Chordata; Mammalia; Primates; Hominidae
Description: non-protein coding lnc-MAP1LC3B2-6:2
Source: RNAcentral
UCCUGCAUUUCCUGUGUUACGGGGGGGGAAAAAGGUGUUUAUGUACAGCAAGAACUGAUGAACUCAGGGCUGAAGAGCAUUUUGUUCUCUGUGGCAGCUCUAUCCCUUUCCUUAGGGGAGAUCUAUGUUAGAAACAAAAAUGUCAUAGGGGAAGGUUGUGAAUUCUAAAUGAACUGUGGGGACCUCACGAACCUCUUCAGCUUAGUGGUUUCCAGGAAGCCCCAGGCUGAGCCAAACUUUGUGACUUAGCUGGUGGUUCAAUGCAAAGACAGAAUCCAAUCCUC